UUUUCUUUUUUUCUUUUCUUUUCUUUUCUUUUUCUUUUUCUUUUCCUCCUUCCUUCUUCUUCCCGUGAGUAUUCUUUGGUGGAACAGGGGACCGUGCGAUCGCUUCUUGUUCCUCAGGUUAAGGGCGAUGACUGCUGGCUGGUAGCUAGCGGCAGUAGGGGUUGCGAUGGUGCAGCUCGGAGAAACCAAACCGACGGUCGGCGGUGACCAUCGGUGUUGGAAAACCAAAGAAAAGAGGGGCAAAAAC
This 247-nucleotide long non-coding RNA is filed under the name Elaeis guineensis (African oil palm). RNAcentral describes it as "long non-coding RNA (EGUI_LNC014020)". Lineage: Eukaryota; Viridiplantae; Streptophyta; Magnoliopsida; Arecales; Arecaceae. The record is from RNAcentral.